AUGUGCGUCCAAACACACAGGAGAUCGGAUGACACUCUGAGGAGUCUGGGUGCUCUUUGUGUAGGCCGUCCUGGCUUCCUCAAACCCUCUUUUUCUACCUGCAGGUUAACGCUGCAGUGGUUUGGCAGGUCUAAGUGUAUCUUACGAGGGCAUGACCCUUUCACACCACGAGCAGGACAAACAGGACUGAAGAGCUGCAAAACAACAUGGAAUGUCCCUUUUGUUUUAACGUUACCUCAUAUUUCUUUUACCCAGAAUAUAUCAUUUGUUUCAAUGCAAAGGGAUAUGUAUGAAGAUAAACGAAUAUUACAUGAGACAUAUUAUUUGACUGUAACAAAAACUGCAAGAGCUGUGACAGAUUAUUCUUUUUUUUUAGAUUGAUAUUUUACAAGUUAGUUGUAAAUGUGAUUCCUUUUAGGACCACAUGAACAUACAUUUCUGUCAACAUCUACAUGAACAUGUGAUUAUUAUCUGUACAUCGCACACAAUGUAUUUUCAGUUUCUGUGCCUGGUUCAUGUGGAACUAGUUUCUGUAAAAGAAAAUAAUAAUAAUGUGAAUGAUUAAGA
Long non-coding RNA from Austrofundulus limnaeus, 567 nucleotides. RefSeq lists it as uncharacterized. NCBI's taxonomy places the organism in Eukaryota, Metazoa, Chordata, Actinopteri, Cyprinodontiformes, Rivulidae. The record is from RefSeq and is a predicted model, not a curated record. The transcript has 2 exons.